CAUUAGAUGACUGAAGUGGUAAGUGUAGGCCUUUUAAUCCUAUUAUGGCGCUCCGCACGCCUCUAAUGA
Molecule: transfer RNA, 69 nt
Filed under: Palaemon longirostris
Lineage: Eukaryota; Metazoa; Arthropoda; Malacostraca; Decapoda; Palaemonidae
Description: tRNA-Lys
Source: RNAcentral